This 27-nucleotide non-coding RNA is filed under the name Rattus norvegicus (Norway rat). The record is from RNAcentral. Lineage: Eukaryota; Metazoa; Chordata; Mammalia; Rodentia; Muridae.
UAUUGUUGCCAUUGAGAACCCUGCUGA